GUUCCCAUACCGAACACGGAAGUUAAGCUCUCUAGCGCCGAUGGUAGUUGGGACCUUGUCCCUGUGAGAGUAGGACGUCGCCAAGCA
RNAcentral lists this ribosomal RNA (87 nucleotides) under Bacillus mycoides. RNAcentral also lists the same sequence under 1 other name. Lineage: Bacteria; Bacillati; Bacillota; Bacilli; Caryophanales; Bacillaceae. The record is from RNAcentral.